UGAGGAAUAUUGGUCAAUGGGCGUAAGCCUGAACCAGCCAAGUCGCGUGAGGGAAGACGGUCCUACGGAUUGUAAACCUCUUUUGCCGGGGAGCAACGGGGUCCUUGCGAGGGCCUUAUGAGAGUACCCGGAGAAAAAGCAUCGGCUAACUCCGUGCCAGCAGCCGCGGUAAUACGGAGGAUGCGAGCGUUAUCCGGAUUUAUUGGGUUUAAAGGGAGCGUAGGUGGAUUGUUAAGUCAGUUGUGAAAGUUUGCGGCUCAACCGUAAAAUUGCAGUUGAAACUGGCUGUCUUGAGUACAGUAGAGGUGGGCGGAAUUCGUGGUGUAGCGGUGAAAUGCAUAGAUAUCACGCAGAACUCCGAUUGCGAAGGCAGCAUACCGGCGCUCAACUGACGCUCAUGCACGAAAGCGUGGGUAUCGAACAGG
This 425-nucleotide ribosomal RNA is filed under the name uncultured bacterium. RNAcentral's name for it is "bacterial SSU rRNA". It matches the Rfam family "Bacterial small subunit ribosomal RNA", at positions 355 to 776 of the family's 1533-position model. The record is from RNAcentral.